AUGGUAGCUGAGUUGAUAUUCUCCUUUUUCUCCUCCAGCAAAUCCAUCUCAGUUCUGAAAAGAACGAGCCAAAAAGCCACUUUUCCAACUCGGAUCCCGAAGGUCAGUUUCAUCCCAAAGAGGACAGCUUUCCACUUUACCGCCAAUCAAGUUCUUCUUAGAGAAGGAGGCAAAGACAGCUGUCCUCGAUGCUGGGUAUCAGAAGACAUUGAGAGAUCUAGUGGUUUCUUGACUCAUGGACAUUUUCUGGUGGCCCAUGUCCCAGAACCAGAGCCUACGAGGAAGAUCAGGGCAUCCACAGUGCAGAAAGCAGAGAAAUGUCAAGGAACAGCAUGCACAGAAUUGUACAUAGGACCAGCCCAGAAAGGUAGAGGGAAAUUUGUGCGGUGGCUUCCAUGCUUCGAAGAUGCAAAGCUGUGACAUGGCAGGUGUUGCUCUUUAUACAAAGUGCAGAAAUAAACCCAUGCUUUUAUGGUGAAUUAAUCUAUAA
This 490-nucleotide long non-coding RNA is filed under the name Felis catus (domestic cat). Its description in RNAcentral is "lncRNA (ENSFCAG00000051626.1)". Lineage: Eukaryota; Metazoa; Chordata; Mammalia; Carnivora; Felidae. The record is from RNAcentral.